Molecule: ribosomal RNA, 446 nt
Filed under: uncultured bacterium
Lineage: Bacteria
Description: bacterial SSU rRNA
Rfam family: Bacterial small subunit ribosomal RNA
Source: RNAcentral
CCAGACUCCUACGGGAGGCAGCAGUGGGGGAUAUUGCACAAUGGGGGAAACCCCGAUGCAGCGACGCCGCGUGAGUGAAGAAGUAUUUCGGUAUGUAAAGCUCUAUCAGCAGGGACGAAAAUGACGGUACCUGAGUAAGAAGCCCCGGCUAACUACGUGCCAGCAGCCGCGGUAAUACGUAGGGGGCAAGCGUUAUCCGGAUUUACUGGGUGUAAAGGGAGCGUAGACGGCCGUGCAAGUCUGAUGUGAAAACCCGGGGCUCAACCCCGGGACUGCAUUGGAAACUGCAUGGCUGGAGUGUCGGAGAGGCAAGUGGAAUUCCUAGUGUAGCGGUGAAAUGCGUAGAUAUUAGGAGGAACACCAGUGGCGAAGGCGGCCUGCUGGACGAUGACUGACGUUGAGGCGCGAAAGCGUGGGGAGCAAACAGGAUUAGAUACCCUAGUAGC